This 67-nucleotide transfer RNA is filed under the name Cantao ocellatus. Its description in RNAcentral is "tRNA-Val". The record is from RNAcentral. Lineage: Eukaryota; Metazoa; Arthropoda; Insecta; Hemiptera; Scutelleridae.
CAGGCUAUUCUAGGUAAAAUCUGUUAUUUACAUUAAUGGUUUAUUUGUGCAAUUCAAAUUGGCUUGA